This 325-nucleotide ribosomal RNA is filed under the name uncultured eukaryote. RNAcentral describes it as "partial 18S ribosomal RNA". It matches the Rfam family "Eukaryotic small subunit ribosomal RNA", at positions 1470 to 1796 of the family's 1831-position model. The record is from RNAcentral.
CCCUUAGAUGUCCUGGGCCGCACGCGCGCUACACUGAUGCAUUCAACGAGUUUUUCCUUGGCCGAGAGGCCUGGGCAAUCUUUUGAACGUGCAUCGUGAUAGGGAUAGAUUAUUGCAAUUAUUAAUCUUGAACGAGGAAUUCCUAGUAAACGCAGAUCAUCAAUCUGCAUUGAUUACGUCCCUGCCCUUUGUACACACCGCCCGUCGCACCUACCGAUUGAAUGGUCCGGUGAAGCCUCGGGAUUGUGGCGAGUUCCCUUUAUUGGGAGUUUGUCGCGAGAACUUGUCUAAACCUUAUCAUUUAGAGGAAGGUGAAGUCGUAACA